RNAcentral lists this ribosomal RNA (451 nucleotides) under uncultured bacterium. RNAcentral's name for it is "bacterial SSU rRNA". It matches the Rfam family "Bacterial small subunit ribosomal RNA", at positions 354 to 796 of the family's 1533-position model. The record is from RNAcentral.
GUGGGGAAUAUUGGACAAUGGGCGCAAGCCUGAUCCAGCGACGCCGCGUGGGUGAUGAAGGCCUUCGGGUUGUAAAGCCCUGUGGGGAGGGACGAAAACGUCAUGGGCGAAUAGGCCAUGGCCUUGACGGUACCUCCUUAGCAAGCACCGGCUAACUCUGUGCCAGCAGCCGCGGUAAGACAGAGGGUGCAAACGUUGCUCGGAAUUACUGGGCGUAAAGCGCGUGUAGGCGGAUAUAUAAGUCAGGUGUGAAAUCCCUGGGCUCAACCCAGGAACUGCAUUUGAAACUGCAUAUCUUGAGUGUCGGAGAGGAAAGCGGAAUUCCUGGUGUAGAGGUGAAAUUCGUAGAUAUCAGGAGGAACACCGGUGGCGAAGGCGGCUUUCUGGACGAUUACUGACGCUGAGACGCGAAAGCGUGGGGAGCAAACAGGAUUAGAUACCCGGGUAGUCC